This 301-nucleotide ribosomal RNA is filed under the name uncultured bacterium. RNAcentral's name for it is "partial 16S ribosomal RNA". It matches the Rfam family "Bacterial small subunit ribosomal RNA", at positions 509 to 807 of the family's 1533-position model. The record is from RNAcentral.
CAGUAGCCGCGGUAAUACGGAGGGUGCAAGCGUUAAUCGGAAUUACUGGGCGUAAAGCGCACGCAGGCGGUCUGACAAGUCAGAUGUGAAAUCCCCGGGCUUAACCUGGGAACUGCAUUCGAAACUGUCAGGCUGGAGUCUUGUAGAGGGGGGUGGAAUUCCAGGUGUAGCGGUGAAAUGCGUAGAGAUCUGGAGGAAUACCGGUGGCGAAGGCGGCCCCCUGGACAAAGACUGACGCUCAGGUGCGAAAGCGUGGGGAGCAAACAGGAUUAGAUACCCGUGUAGUCCCUGUCUCUUAUAC